UUUGGUGGCGAUAGCAAAGAGGUCACACCCGUUCCCAUUCCGAACACGGAAGUUAAGCUCUUUAGCGCCGAUGGUAGUUGGGGGUCUCCCCCUGUGAGAGUAGGACGUUGCCAAGC
This 116-nucleotide ribosomal RNA is filed under the name Peribacillus loiseleuriae. The record is from RNAcentral. RNAcentral also lists the same sequence under 3 other names. Lineage: Bacteria; Bacillati; Bacillota; Bacilli; Caryophanales; Bacillaceae.